UCCUACGGGAGGCAGCAGUGGGGAAUCUUGCACAAUGGAGGAAACUCUGAUGCAGCGAUGCCGCGUGAGUGAGGAAGGCCCUUGGGUUGUAAAGCUCUUUCGUCGGGGAAGAAAAUGACUGUACCCGAAUAAGAAGGUCCGGCUAACUUCGUGCCAGCAGCCGCGGUAAU
Molecule: ribosomal RNA, 170 nt
Filed under: uncultured Alphaproteobacteria bacterium
Lineage: Bacteria; Pseudomonadati; Pseudomonadota; Alphaproteobacteria
Description: partial 16S ribosomal RNA
Rfam family: Bacterial small subunit ribosomal RNA
Source: RNAcentral